RNAcentral lists this ribosomal RNA (1317 nucleotides) under Triticum aestivum (bread wheat). RNAcentral's name for it is "partial small subunit ribosomal RNA". Lineage: Eukaryota; Viridiplantae; Streptophyta; Magnoliopsida; Poales; Poaceae. The record is from RNAcentral.
AUGCGGGCGCUGGAGGACGACCUGUUCCCGUCGACCCCCGGCAAGGUGAAGAUCGAGCGGGCGGGCGGCACCAUGAACCGCCAGCUGCACCGCUGCUUCGCUUCGACUAGCACCAUGUUCCUCUGGGCGCUCUUCCUCGUCGCCAUGACCGCUUCCUACCUCAGCUUCCAGUCCUUCGUCGACACCUCCUCCAAGUACUUCGCCGCCUCCUGGGGCGGCCUGCACUGGGAGCGCCAGAUCCGCGCCUCCGCCGCGCCGCGCAGGCCGCCGGGCUCCGCGGCCGGGGCCGGGAUGUCGGUGCUCGUCACGGGCGCCUCCGGGUUCGUCGGCGCGCACUGCUCGCUCGCGCUGCGCAAGCGCGGGGACGGCGUCGUCGGCAUCGACAACUUCAACGCCUACUACGACCCCUCGCUCAAGAAGGCCCGCAAGGCGCUGCUGACCUCCCACGGCGUCUUCGUCGUCGAGGGCGACAUCAACGACGGCCGCCUCCUCGCCAAGCUCUUCGACGUCGUCCCCUUCACGCACGUGCUCCACCUGGCGGCCCAGGCCGGCGUGCGCUACGCCAUGGAGAACCCGGCCUCGUACGUGCACUCCAACGUGGCGGGGCUCGUCACCCUCCUGGAGGCGUGCAAGAACGCCGACCCGCAGCCGGCCAUCGUCUGGGCCUCCUCCUCCUCGGUCUACGGCCUCAACGACAAGGUGCCCUUCUCCGAGUCCCACCGCACGGACCAGCCGGCGUCGCUCUACGCGGCCACCAAGAAGGCCGGCGAGGAGAUCACCCACUCGUACAACCACAUCUACGGGCUCUCCAUCACCGGCCUGCGCUUCUUCACGGUGUACGGGCCCUGGGGGCGGCCGGACAUGGCCUACUUCUCCUUCACCCGCAACAUCCUGCAGGGGAAGCCCAUCACGGUGUACCGGGGCAAGAACCACGUGGACCUCGCCCGCGACUUCACCUACAUCGACGACAUCGUCAAGGGCUGCCUGGGGUCGCUGGACACGGCCGGCGGGAGCACGGGCACCGGCGGCAAGAAGCGCGGGCCGGCGCCGUACCGGAUCUUCAACCUGGGCAACACGUCCCCGGUGACGGUGCCCACCCUGGUGGCCAUCCUGGAGAAGCACCUCCGGGUGAAGGCGAGGAAGCACGUGGUGGAGAUGCCCGGCAACGGCGACGUGCCCUUCACCCACGCCAACAUCUCGCUCGCCCGGCAGCAGCUCGGGUACAAGCCCGCCACCAACCUCGACGCCGGCCUCAAGAAGUUCGUCAAGUGGUACCUCUCCUACUACGGCUACACCCGGGGAUCCAAGAACUUGUGA